GUAGAAUGAACCGGCGAGUUACGAUUUGUUGCAAGGUUAAGCGGAAAAAGCGGAGCCGUAGCGAAAGCGAGUCUGAAUAGGGCGCAUAAGUAACAGGUCGUAGACCCGAAACCAGGUGAUCUACCCAUGUCCAGGAUGAAGGUAAGGUAAUACUUACUGGAGGUCCGAACCCACGCACGUUGAAAAGUGCGGGGAUGAGGUGUGGGUAGCGGAGAAAUUCCAAUCGAACUUGGAGAUAGCUGGUUCUCUCCGAAAUAGCUUUAGGGCUAGCCUCGAGGUAAAGAGUCAUGGAGGUAGAGCACUGUUUGGACUAGGGGCCCUUCUCGGGUUACCGAAUUCAGAUAAACUCCGAAUGCCAUGUACUUAUACUCGGGAGUCAGACUGCGAGUGAUAAGAUCCGUAGUCGAAAGGGAAACAGCCCAGACCACCAGUUAAGGUCCCCAAAUAUAUGUUAAGUGGAAAAGGAUGUGGGGUUGCUUAGACAACCAGGAUGUUGGCUUAGAAGCAGCCACCAUUGAAAGAGUGCGUAAUAGCUCACUGGUCGAGUGACCCCGCGCCGAAAAUGUACCGGGGCUAAACAUAUUACCGAAACUGUGGAUGAACCUCUUUAGAGGUUCGUGGUAGGAGAGCGUUCUAAGGGCGGUGAAGUCAGACCGGAAGGACUGGUGGAGCGCUUAGAAGUGAGAAUGCCGGUAUGAGUAGCGAAAGAAGGGUGAGAAUCCCUUCCACCGAAUAUCUAAGGUUUCCUGAGGAAGGCUCGUCCGCUCAGGGUUAGUCGGGACCUAAGCCGAGGCCGAUAGGCGUAGGCGAUGGACAACAGGUAGAGAUUCCUGUACCAGUGCUAAUUGUUUAACCGAUGGGGUGACACAGAAGGAUAGGGAAUCGCACGAAUGGAAAUGUGCGUCCAAGCAGUGAGUGUGAGAAGUAGGCAAAUCCGCUUCUCGCGAAGCAUGAGCUGUGAUGGGGAAGGAAAUUAAGUACGGAAGUUCCUGAUUUCACGCUGUCAAGAAAAGCCUCUAGGAAGAGUAGUACUGCCCGUACCGCAAACCGACACAGGUAGAUGAGGAGAGAAUCCUAAGGUGAGCGAGAGAACUCUCGUUAAGGAACUCGGCAAAAUGACCCCGUAACUUCGGGAGAAGGGGUGCUCUAUUAGGGUGCAAGCCCGAGAGAGCCGCAGUGAAUAGGCCCAGGCGACUGUUUAGCAAAAACACAGGUCUCUGCAAAACCGUAAGGUGACGUAUAGGGGCUGACGCCUGCCCGGUGCUGGAAGGUUAAGAGGAGUGCUUAGCUUCGGCGAAGGUACGAAUUGAAGCCCCAGUAAACGGCGGCCGUAACUAUAACGGUCCUAAGGUAGCGAAAUUCCUUGUCGGGUAAGUUCCGACCCGCACGAAAGGCGCAACGAUCUGGGCACUGUCUCAACGAGAGACUCGGUGAAAUUAUAGUACCUGUGAAGAUGCAGGUUACCCGCGACAGGACGGAAAGACCCCGUGGAGCUUUACUGCAACCUGAUAUGGAAUGUUUGUACCGCUUGUACAGGAUAGGUAGGAGCCGAAGAGACGUGUGCGCUAGCAUACGAGGAGGCAAUGGUGGGAUACUACCCUGGCUGUAUGACCAUUCUAACCCGCCACGCUUAGCGCGUGGGGAGACAGUGUCAGGUGGGCAGUUUGACUGGGGCGGUCGCCUCCUAAAGAGUAACGGAGGCGCCCAAAGGUUCCCUCAGAAUGGAUGGAAAUCAUUCGCAGAGUGUAAAGGCACAAGGGAGCUUGACUGCGAGACUGACAAGUCGAGCAGGGACGAAAGUCGGGCUUAGUGAUCCGGUGGUUCCGCAUGGAAGGGCCAUCGCUCAACGGAUAAAAGCUACCCCGGGGAUAACAGGCUUAUCUCCCCCAAGAGUCCACAUCGACGGGGAGGUUUGGCACCUCGAUGUCGGCUCGUCGCAUCCUGGGGCUGUAGUCGGUCCCAAGGGUUGGGCUGUUCGCCCAUUAAAGCGGCACGCGAGCUGGGUUCAGAACGUCGUGAGACAGUUCGGUCCCUAUCCGUCGCGGGCGCAGGAAAUUUGAGAGGAGCUGUCCUUAGUACGAGAGGACCGGGAUGGACACACCGCUGGUGUACCAGUUGUUCCGCCAGGAGCAUCGCUGGGUAGCUAUGUGUGGCAGGGAUAAACGCUGAAAGCAUCUAAGCGUGAAGCCCCCCUCAAGAUGAGAUUUCCCAUUUCUUCGGAAAGUAAGAUCCCUGAAAGAUGAUCAGGUAGAUAGGUUUGGAGUGGAAGUGUAGCGAUACAUGGAGCGGACAAAUACUAAUCGAUCGAGGACUUAACCAAAA
RNAcentral lists this ribosomal RNA (2322 nucleotides) under Listeria monocytogenes. RNAcentral describes it as "partial 23S ribosomal RNA". It matches the Rfam family "Bacterial large subunit ribosomal RNA", at positions 610 to 2925 of the family's 2925-position model. The record is from RNAcentral. Lineage: Bacteria; Bacillati; Bacillota; Bacilli; Caryophanales; Listeriaceae.